AUCUGAUGAGUCAAAGAAAACACUAUUACACAAAGUCAAAAGUAAUACUUUAUUAUAACAAUAGAAUUAUUUAUACAAUAGUGAGUGCAACUAUAUUUAAGAUUAUAAAAUCUACUGUGCAUCAAGCAGUUUAUCCCAUUGACCUUACAAUAUACAAUAAUGCAAGAAGCAAUGUGUCUUAUUACAAAAUAGGGUUUCCCAAAGCAGUUUUAAAAUUCAGCUGAUUAUCAAUGACCUAUAUGCUGUUAAUAAUUACAGUAAUUUGGCAGUUUGAUUGCUUGAAUUAAAAACAAAAGGUCUAGGACUCAACAGAAAGAAAUAUAUCUUAACAUCAAAUAUUAAAGAUAGUUUGAAGCAUUCAUACAAUUGAA
Molecule: long non-coding RNA, 371 nt
Filed under: Paramuricea clavata
Lineage: Eukaryota; Metazoa; Cnidaria; Anthozoa; Malacalcyonacea; Plexauridae
Source: RNAcentral